GUUAUAUAGUCAAGUGACUAAGUGCAUACGGUGGAUGCCUUGGCAGUCAGAGGCGAUGAAGGACGUGGAAGCCUGCGAAAAGCUUCGGGGAGCUGGCAAACGAGCUAUGAUCCGGAGAUGUCCGAAUGGGGGAACCCACCUGGUUUACCAGGUAUCGCGAUACUGAAUACAUAGGUAUUGCGAAGCGAACGCGGAGAACUGAAACAUCUAAGUACCCGUAGGAAAAGAAAUCAACCGAGAUUCCCUAAGUAGCGGCGAGCGAACGGGGACUAGCCCAAAAGUCUGGUGAAGGAUAAAGGAACACUUUGGAAAGAGUGGCCAUAGAGAGUGAUAGCCUCGUACUUGAAAUCCGAAUCAGAUGAAAAAUGAGUAGGUCGGGACACGUGUUAUCCUGAUUGAAUAUGGGGGGACCAUCCUCCAAGGCUAAAUACUCCUGACUGACCGAUAGUGAACCAGUACCGUGAGGGAAAGGCGAAAAGAACCCCUGUGAGGGGAGUGAAAUAGACCCUGAAACCGUAUGCGUACAAGCAGUGGGAGCAGACUUGUUCUGUGACUGCGUACCUUUUGUAUAAUGGGUCAGCGACUUACGUUUAGUGGCAAGGUUAACCAUUUAGGGGAGCCGUAGGGAAACCGAGUCUGAAUAGGGCGAACAGUCGCUAGGCGUAGACCCGAAACCGAGUGAUCUAUCCAUGGGCAGGGUGAAGGUUGAGUAACAUCAACUGGAGGCCCGAACCCACUCCCGUUGAAAAGGUAGGGGAUGACUUGUGGAUAGGAGUGAAAGGCUAAUCAAACUCGGAGAUAGCUGGUUCUCCCCGAAAACUAUUUAGGUAGUGCCUCGUGUAUCACUUCUGGGGGUAGAGCACUGUUUGGGCUAGGGGGUCAUCCCGACUUACCAACCCCAUGCAAACUCCGAAUACCAGAAAGUGCAAGCACGGGAGACACACGGCGGGUGCUAACGUCCGUCGUGAAGAGGGAAACAACCCAGACCGCCAGCUAAGGUCCCAAAGUCCAUGUUAAGUGGGAAACGAUGUGGGAAGGCUAAGACAGCUAGGAGGUUGGCUUAGAAGCAGCCAUCCUUUAAAGAAAGCGUAAUAGCUCACUAGUCGAGUCGGCCUGCGCGGAAGAUGUAACGGGGCUCAAACAUGGCACCGAAGCUGCGGAUAUUAAUUUAUUAAUAUGGUAGGGGAGCGUUCUGUAGGCUGUUGAAGCGGAAUUGAGAAGUUCCGUGGAGGUAUCAGAAGUGCGAAUGCUGACAUAAGUAACGAUAAAGGGGGUGAAAAACCUCCUCGCCGGAAGACCAAGGUUUCCUGCGCAACGUUAAUCGGCGCAGGGUGAGUCGGCCCCUAAGGCGAGGCCGAAAGGCGUAGUCGAUGGGAAACAGGUUAAAAUUCCUGUACCUCGUAUUAUUGCGAUGGGGGGACGGAGAAGGCUAGGCCAGCCGGGUGAUGGUUAUCCCGGUUUAAGGAAGUAGGGAGAGGACUUAGGAAAAUCCGGGUUCUUAAUUCUGAGAUCUGAUGACGAAGUCGAGCGUGCUCGAUGAAGUGGUUGAUGCCAAGCUUCCAAGAAAAGCCUCUAAGCUUCAGAUAAUACGGGACCGUACCCCAAACCGACACAGGUGGUCAGGUAGAGAAUACUAAGGCGCUUGAGAGAACUCGGGUGAAGGAACUAGGCAAAAUAGUGCCGUAACUUCGGGAGAAGGCACGCCGGCUAGUGUGAAGGACUUGCUCCGUAAGCAUUGGCUGGUCGAAGAUACCAGGUGGCUGCGACUGUUUAUUAAAAACACAGCACUCUGCUAACACGAAAGUGGACGUAUAGGGUGUGACGCCUGCCCGGUGCCGGAAGGUUAAUUGAUGGGGUUAGCGCAAGCGAAGCUCUUGAUCGAAGCCCCGGUAAACGGCGGCCGUAACUAUAACGGUCCUAAGGUAGCGAAAUUCCUUGUCGGGUAAGUUCCGACCUGCACGAAUGGCGUAACGAUGGCCACGCUGUCUCCACCCGAGACUCAGUGAAAUUGAAAUCGCAGUGAAGAUGCUGUGUAUCCGCGGCUAGACGGAAAGACCCCGUGAACCUUUACUAUAGCUUCACAGUGAACUUUGAUACUACUUGUGUAGGAUAGCUGGGAGGCUUUGAAGCGGUGACGCCAGUCAUCGUGGAGCCGACCUUGAAAUACCAGCCUGGUAUUGUUGAGGUUCUAACUCUGACCCGUGAUCCGGGUCGAGGACACUGUGUGGUGGGUAGUUUGACUGGGGCGGUCUCCUCCCAAAGAGUAACGGAGGAGCACGAAGGUGCGCUAAGUACGGUCGGACAUCGUACGGUUAGUGUAAAGGCAUAAGCGCGCUUAACUGCGAGACGGACAGGUCGAGCAGGUACGAAAGUAGGUCUUAGUGAUCCGGUGGUUCUGAAUGGAAGGGCCAUCGCUCAACGGAUAAAAGGUACUCCGGGGAUAACAGGCUGAUACCGCCCAAGAGUUCACAUCGACGGCGGUGUUUGGCACCUCGAUGUCGGCUCAUCACAUCCUGGGGCUGAAGCCGGUCCCAAGGGUAUGGCUGUUCGCCAUUUAAAGUGGUACGCGAGCUGGGUUUAGAACGUCGUGAGACAGUUCGGUCCCUAUCUGCCGUGGACGUUGGAGAUUUGAGGAGAGCUGCUCCUAGUACGAGAGGACCGGAGUGGACGAACCUCUGGUGUUCGGGUUGUCACGCCAGUGGCAUUGCCCGGUAGCUAUGUUCGGACAGGAUAACCGCUGAAAGCAUCUAAGCGGGAAGCCCCCUCCAAGAUGAGAUCUCCCUGAGACAUAAGUCUCCUGUAGGGCCCUUGAAGACCACGAGGUUGAUAGGCUGGGUGUGUAAGCGUUGUAAGGCGUUGAGCUAACCAGUACUAAUUGCCCGAGAGGCUUGACUAUAUAACGCCCAAAUGGUUUUUAG
Molecule: ribosomal RNA, 2918 nt
Filed under: Hahellaceae bacterium
Lineage: Bacteria; Pseudomonadati; Pseudomonadota; Gammaproteobacteria; Oceanospirillales; Hahellaceae
Description: 23S ribosomal RNA
Rfam family: Bacterial large subunit ribosomal RNA
Source: RNAcentral